CUUUUGACAAGAAGGAGAGACUGGACGUUGUGUGUGGGGGGGGCUGAGACAGAAGAAAAGAGGACACCGUGAUUACAAUUUAAUGUCAACAUGACGGUGAGGCUGCCCUCUUUUUUUAUCUCUUACAUUUCUCUUUGUGCAAACACACACACAAUGAAGGCUAAGUACACCAUGUAGGCACCAUGUACCUGGCAUGGUGCCUUUUGUGCCAGCAGAUUUCAGGUGGCUGUAAAUGGGUUAGUUAGACACUUCAUGAUGUUUAUAUUUCACCUUACUGGUUUUCUAAAUUUUGUCACUUCACUUCUAUCUGUGUUCCUCUCCUAUUCCUCUUUGGCCCUCUUAUAAAUAUGCAUCAAGGAGUCUUGGAUUAGGGGCAAGGAUCCUUUUCUAAAGCUCUGUGUGUGUGUGUUUGGGGGAGAGCAUGUGUGUGAGCGGGUGCAUGCACGCUUGAGUAUGUGUGUUUGUGUCUUAAGCCAGGCAGAGCAAGAAUACGGCCUGCUGUAAGCCCAGGCAUGUGUCAUUUAUGUGAUUGGGUUUCGACUGCGUUGAUGUGUGACGUCUUGGACACUAGAUGACCAGACGCUCCAUGGACAACGCAGACUGUCCUGCUAAAAAUAUCAAGGUCUCGGCUAUACAUUUAUACUUGCUGCCAUCUCGCUAAGAUAUACAUAUGUCGUGCAUGUGUGCAGGCCAGGGUCCAGUGACACUAGGUGAGAGGUGUUUUUUGUUUUUUGAAGCUCUAGUGCAAGUUGAAUCUGCUUUUGUGGCCUCGCAUAUCAUUCAUUUAUGCUCAUCUGUAUUAUUUCCAUAAUUAUUAGGCAUUUGAAAUUGGACUGGUUAUAAUUUGUGAGAUUUGGGAAACAAAUCAGACUUCCAGACUUGGAGUUAUUGGUAUGUUUUAAUGUAUAAUUUGAAAUGUGUGAUAUGCACAAAUGUAAGAUCAAAUCCAAAGUAUUUAUUUUACACUAAGGCUAAAAGAUUUACGUAGCUUCUUUCUGUAUUAAAUGAAAUAAAAUUUAUAUGUAAAUGG
Molecule: long non-coding RNA, 1030 nt
Organism: Micropterus salmoides (largemouth bass)
Lineage: Eukaryota; Metazoa; Chordata; Actinopteri; Centrarchiformes; Centrarchidae
Exons: 2
Source: RefSeq, a predicted model, not a curated record